GUGAGGAAUAUUGGUCAAUGGGCGAGAGCCUGAUCCAGCCAUGCCGCGUGCAGGAAGACGCAUCUAUGGUGUGUAAACUGCUUUUGUACGGGAAGAAACACUCCCUCGUGAGGGAGCUUGACGGUACCGUAAGAAUAAGGAUCGGCUAACUCCGUGCCAGCAGCCGCGCUAAUACGGAGGAUCCAAGCGUUAUCCGGAAUCAUUGGGUUUAAAGGGUCCGUAGGCGGUUUAAUAAGUCAGUGGUGAAAGCCCAUCGCUCAACGAUGGAACGGCCAUUGAGACUGUUAGACUUGAAUUACAAGGAAGUAACUAGAAUAUGUAGUGUAGCGGUGAAAUGCUUAGAUAUUACAUGGAAUACCAAUUGCGAAGGCAGGUUACUACUUGUGGAUUGACGCUGAUGGACGAAAGCGUGGGGAGCGAACAGGAUUAGAAACCCUGGUAGUCC
Molecule: ribosomal RNA, 445 nt
Filed under: uncultured bacterium
Lineage: Bacteria
Description: partial 16S ribosomal RNA
Rfam family: Bacterial small subunit ribosomal RNA
Source: RNAcentral